GUAUUGGUGGUUCAGUGGUAGAAUUCUCUCCUUUCAUGUAGGAGACUGGGGUUUGACUCCUGGCCAAUGCA
RNAcentral lists this transfer RNA (71 nucleotides) under Loxodonta africana (African savanna elephant). It matches the Rfam family "tRNA". From Rfam's summary of the family: Transfer RNA (tRNA) molecules are approximately 80 nucleotides in length. Their secondary structure includes four short double-helical elements and three loops (D, anti-codon, and T loops). The record is from Rfam by way of RNAcentral. Lineage: Eukaryota; Metazoa; Chordata; Mammalia; Proboscidea; Elephantidae.